This 72-nucleotide transfer RNA is filed under the name Dendronephthya gigantea. RNAcentral describes it as "tRNA-Leu". It matches the Rfam family "tRNA". Rfam says of the family: Transfer RNA (tRNA) molecules are approximately 80 nucleotides in length. Their secondary structure includes four short double-helical elements and three loops (D, anti-codon, and T loops). Lineage: Eukaryota; Metazoa; Cnidaria; Anthozoa; Malacalcyonacea; Nephtheidae. The record is from RNAcentral.
AGCAGGGUGGCGCAGUGGAAGCGUGCUAGGCCCAAAACCCAGAGGUCAAUGGAUCGAAACCUUUUCCUGCUA